This 1203-nucleotide ribosomal RNA is filed under the name Triticum aestivum (bread wheat). RNAcentral's name for it is "partial small subunit ribosomal RNA". The record is from RNAcentral. Lineage: Eukaryota; Viridiplantae; Streptophyta; Magnoliopsida; Poales; Poaceae.
AUGAAUUUGAAUUGGAUCCCUGAACAGGAGGAACCUCGAGUGGCAGAGAAAGGAACUAUGGAUUUGAACUUGAUGCCUCAAGAGGAAGACGAUGAAGCUAUGAAUUGGAUGCCUCCAGAAGAUGAAGGGAAAGAGGACGAAGCUCAAGAGGAAGAGGAUGAAGUUAUGAAUUUGAUACUUCAAGAGAAGAGAAGAGAAUUGUCAGAUAAGGAGAGGCAUGGUGUUUACUUCGCUUUGCUGGUAAUCGAGCUCAGAGAUGGGUCUGUUCAACCAGACGACAAUCUGCUAGUCUCAAACCUGUUGGACAUAAGUGUACGAUCUGUUGAAAGAGUCUGGGAAGAAGCCAAAAAGCAAAUUGCCGAUGGCAAAGAAGUAGAUGUCUCAAGCAAGAAGCCAGGAAGAUCUGGCCGAAAGAGAAAGGAGCUGGAUCUAGAGAGGACCUCAACAAUCCCAUUAAAUAAAAGAAGGACAAUUCGAUUUCUGGCACGGUCUCUAGGUGUGGCCCGAUCGACCCUACAUAAGAGGUUCCAGUUGAAUGAGCUCAACCGCAUCACAAGCACCGUGAAACCUCACCUCAAGCUAGAGAACAAGCUUGCGAGAUUGAAAUUUUGUAUGCCCAUGGUCGAUGACAAUUCAAUCUCAACUUCUCGGGCUAUGUUUAAACCAAUGACGAAUAUGGUUCACAUCGAUGAGAAGUGGUUUGACAUGACAAGAGUGAAGAAUAGUUACUAUGUACUUCCAGGAGAACCUGAGCCAAAGCGCACCGUGUCAAACACUCACAGCAUUGGGAAGGUGAUGUUCCUAACAGCUGUUGCCAGGCCUCGAUAUAACAAUGAGGGGGAGCUAACAUUUGACGGGAAGAUUGGCAUUUGGGCAUUUGUUGAAGAGACUGAGGCGAAGCGGACAAGUCAUAAUAGAACAAAGGGAACAAAAGUGUUGACAUCAGUGAAAGUAACAAGGCCUGUGUGCAGAGAUUAUCUAAUCAAUAAGGUUAUCCCGGCAAUUCCGGAUAAGUGGCCUGACGAUGACGAGGGAGCAACAAUAUUCAUCCAACAGGAUAAUGCAAAGCCCCAUGUCCUUCCCAAUGAUGUAGCUUUUCGAGAAGCUGUGGAACAAACUGAUCUUGACAUCCGAUUGCUACAACAGCCCCCAAAUAGCCCUGAGUUAAAUUGUUUGGACCUCUGCUUCCAUACCUCUCUCUAG